RNAcentral lists this ribosomal RNA (1342 nucleotides) under uncultured organism. RNAcentral's name for it is "16S ribosomal RNA". It matches the Rfam family "Bacterial small subunit ribosomal RNA", at positions 91 to 1430 of the family's 1533-position model. The record is from RNAcentral.
GUUAGUGGCGAAAGGGUGAGGAAUAGAUAGGAACGUACCCUGUGCUCUGGGAUAGCGUCUGAAGCUUCGGCUUCUUCCGAAAGGGGCGGUAAUACCAGAUAAUGUCCUUCGGGACCAAAGAUUUAUCGGCAUUGGAGCGACCUAUCUCCUAUCAGCUUAUAGGUGAGGUAACGGCUCACCAAGGCAACGACGGGUAGCGGGACUGAGAGGUUGGCCGCCACAUCGGGACUGAGACACUGCCCGGACCUCCACGGAGGGCUGCAGUAACGGAUAUUGGGCAAUGGGCGAAAGCCUGACCCAGCAAUGCCGCGUGCAGGAUGAAGCCCCUAGGGGUGUAAACUGCUGUCAGGGGUCAGAAAGCUGGUUUCGGCCAGUUGAUCAACCCCAGAGGAAGUCACGGCUAACUUCGUGCCAGCAGCCGCGGUAAUACGAAGGUGGCCAGCGUUAUUCGGAAUCAUUGGGCUUAAAGGGCACGCAGGCGGAACAGUGUGUGUUGUGUGACAUCCCCCGGCUUAACCGGGGAAUUGCACAGCAAACUGCUGUUCUUGAGGCAGGUAGGGGUGCAUGGAACUCUUGGUGGAGCGGUGGAAUGCGUAGAUAUCAAGAGGAACGCCAGAGGUGAAGACGGUGCACUGGGCCUGUCCUGACGCUGAGGUGCGAAAGCGUGGGGAGCGAACGGGAUUAGAUACCCCGGUAGUCCACGCCGUAAACGAUGUCUACUAGGUCGUGGGUGUUCUGACACAUUCACGGCCGGAGCAAAAGUGUUUAGUAGACCGCCUGGGGAGUACGGCCGCAAGGUUAAAACUCAAAUGAAUUGACGGGGGCUCACACAAGCGGUGGAGCAUGUGGAUUAAUUCGAAGCAACACGCAGAACCUUACCUGGGUUGAACAUGCUUGUAUGCCUUCUCUGAAAGGAGUUAGGCUGCCUUCGGGUGAAACUUGCACAGGUGCUGCAUGGCUGUCGUCAGCUCGUGUCGUGAGAUGUCGGGUUAAGUCCUUGAACGAGCGAAACCCUUGCCGUUAGUUGCCAGCGAGUAAUGUCGGGGACUCUAACGGGACUGCCGGUGUUAAACCGGAGGAAGGUGGGGAUGACGUCAAGUCCUCAUGGCCUUUAUGCCCAGGGCUUCACACGUGCUACAAUGGCAAUUACAGAGCGACGCGAUACCGCGAGGUGGAGCAAAUCGCAAAAAAAUUGCCUCAGUUCGGAUUGCAGGCUGGCAAUUCGCCUGCAUGAAGUCGGAAUCGCUAGUAAUCGCGUAUCAGCAAUGACGCGGUGAAUGUGUUCCUGAGCCUUGUACACACCGCCCGUCAAGUGAUGGAAGCCGGGAGUACCCGAAGUCGG